GAACUACUGGCAGCUUAGAGUGGAAUGAAGGGAUCGUUUGUUCUGCAGACGUUUUCGGCGAUACAUGUCGCCAUCAUCAGGCUACAGAACAAUGGAAAAUGUGAUACUUUCCUGAAUGAGUGCAUACAAGAAACACAGUCAAGAUUACUUUGAGAAGAUCCAACCCAGAGGCUAACAUUGAUAGUGGAUAGGCUGAUCAAGCACUGCCACUUCCCAGAUUUUUGGAAGCAUCAAAGAAUCACUGUACCAGCAUCUCCUAGGCUGUUUGCAUUUAUGAAAGUCCAUAAAAACCUAUUGGUACCUAGACCUAUUGUAGAAAAGAAGAAUGCACCAACUUAUAACUUGGAGAAAGCCAUCUCCAAAUGGUGCACUUCUAACUUAAGACAGAAUGAACAUUCAAUAACAGCUACAAUAGAAGCCCUGGUCAUGCUAAGAAUGAUUAAUUGGCAGUAUGAUGAUACAUUAGCAACAUUUGACUUUGAAAGCCUAUACCCCUCAUUAGAAUGACCAAUGUAUGGCCUUCUAUAGAUUUCUUUUACAGAACGUUUUGGAGGCAAGCAGUAAAGCUGCUUAUUUGAGGGAAAUGGCCCACCUCAUCUGCCAUCAGUCCUUUUUUUUAAAUUUAACAGACAAUUCUAUCAGCAACUUACAGGCAUCCCAGUAGGCUCAAUGACAGGGUUAUUAGUGGAGAUUGUGUUAAGGACUAUAGAACUGCAAAUACUCGCCAAGUUCCAACCAGAUAUCAU
This 746-nucleotide long non-coding RNA is filed under the name Androctonus crassicauda. The record is from RNAcentral. Lineage: Eukaryota; Metazoa; Arthropoda; Arachnida; Scorpiones; Buthidae.